AUGUUGGUAAAGCAUUUACCUAAGUUAUGGAAAAUUCAUAAUUCAUCCGUUAUUUUAGAUGAUACUAAAAAACAAGAUAGAGUAAAACUGUAA
Molecule: ribosomal RNA, 93 nt
Filed under: Triticum aestivum (bread wheat)
Lineage: Eukaryota; Viridiplantae; Streptophyta; Magnoliopsida; Poales; Poaceae
Description: partial small subunit ribosomal RNA
Source: RNAcentral